UACGUAGGCAGCGAGCGUUGUUCGGAAUUACUGGGCGUAAAGAGUGUGUAGGCGGUGUUCCCAGUCUGUUGUGAAAUCUCCCGGCUUAACUGGGAGGGUGCAGCGGAAACUAGAAUGCUAGAGGGUGGGAGAGGUAAGCGGAAUUCCUGGUGUAGCGGUGAAAUGCGUAGAUAUCAGGAGGAACACCGGUGGCGAAGGCGGUUCUCUGGGAAUGACCUGACGCUGAGGAGCGAAAGUGUGGGGAGCGAACAGG
RNAcentral lists this ribosomal RNA (253 nucleotides) under uncultured bacterium. Its description in RNAcentral is "partial 16S ribosomal RNA". It matches the Rfam family "Bacterial small subunit ribosomal RNA", at positions 524 to 776 of the family's 1533-position model. The record is from RNAcentral.